AGUGAACGCUGGCGGUAGGCCUAACACAUGCAAGUCGAACGGCAGCACAGUAAGAGCUUGCUCUUACGGGUGGCGAGUGGCGGACGGGUGAGGAAUACAUCGGAAUCUACUUUUUCGUGGGGGAUAAUGUAGGGAAACUUACGCUAAUACCGCAUACGACCUACGGGUGAAAGCAGGGGAUCUUCGGACCUUGCGCGAUUGAAUGAGCCGAUGUCGGAUUAGCUAGUUGGCGGGGUAAAGGCCCACCAAGGCGACGAUCCGUAGCUGGUCUGGGAGAAUGAUCAGCCACACUGGAACUGAGACACGGCCCAGACUCCUACGGGAGGCGGCAGUGGGGAAUAUUGGACAAGGGGCGCAAGCCUGAUCCAGCCAUACCGCGGGGGUGAAGAAGGCCUUCGGGUUGUAAAGCCCUUUUGUUGGGAAAGAAAAGCAGCAGGUUAAUACCCCGCUGUUCUGACGGUACCCAAAGAAUAAGCACCGGCUAACUUCGUG
RNAcentral lists this ribosomal RNA (492 nucleotides) under uncultured bacterium. RNAcentral's name for it is "partial 16S ribosomal RNA". It matches the Rfam family "Bacterial small subunit ribosomal RNA", at positions 29 to 507 of the family's 1533-position model. The record is from RNAcentral.